ACUCCUGCGGGAGGCAGCAGUGGGGAAUAUUGCACAAUGGGCGCAAGCCUGAUGCAGCCAUGCCGCGUGUAUGAAGAAGGCCUUCGGGUUGUAAAGUACUUUCAGCGGGGAGGAAGGCAAUACGGUUAAUAACCGUGUUGAUUGACGUUACCCGCAGAAGAAGCACCGGCUAACUCCGUGCCAGCAGCCGCGGUAAUACGGAGGGUGCAAGCGUUAAUCGGAAUUACUGGGCGUAAAGCGCACGCAGGCGGUCUGUCAAGUCGGAUGUGAAAUCCCCGGGCUCAACCUGGGAACUGCAUUCGAAACUGGCAGGCUUGAGUCUUGUAGAGGGGGGUAGAAUUCCAGGUGUAGCGGUGAAAUGCGUAGAGAUCUGGAGGAAUACCGGUGGCGAAGGCGGCCCCCUGGACAAAGACUGACGCUCAGGUGCGAAAGCGUGGGGAGCAAACAGGAUUAGAUACCCUAGUAGUCCCAU
RNAcentral lists this ribosomal RNA (472 nucleotides) under uncultured organism. RNAcentral's name for it is "partial 16S ribosomal RNA". It matches the Rfam family "Bacterial small subunit ribosomal RNA", at positions 335 to 798 of the family's 1533-position model. The record is from RNAcentral.